GAUGAACGCUGGCGGCGUGCCUAAUACAUGCAAGUCGAGCGAACAGACGCUGAGCUUGUUCCUCUCACGUUAGCCGCGGACGUGUGAGUCACACGUGUAUACCCUACCUAUCAUACUGGUAUAACUUCGGGAAACCGGAUCUAAUACCGGAUAAUAUAUUGCACCGCAUGGUGCAAUAGUGAAAUACGGUUUUGCUGUCACUUAUCGCUGGAUCCGCGCCGCAUUAGCUAGUAGGUAAGGUAACGGCUUACCAAGGCGACGAUGCGUAGCCGACCUGAGAGGGUGAUCGGCCGCACGGGAGCGGAGACACGGUCCAGAGUACUACGGGACGCAGCAGUAGGGAAUCUUACGCAAUGGGCGAAAGCCUGGCGGAGCAACGCCGAGUCAGUGAUGACGGUCUUGGGAUCGUAAAACUCUCUUAUUAGGGAAGAACAAAUGUGUAAGUAACUAUGGACGUAUUGACGGUACUUAAUCAGAAAGCAACGGCUAACUACGUG
Molecule: ribosomal RNA, 497 nt
Filed under: uncultured bacterium
Lineage: Bacteria
Description: partial 16S ribosomal RNA
Rfam family: Bacterial small subunit ribosomal RNA
Source: RNAcentral